AAGGGACAAGCUGGGUCGACCGUGUGAUAUGUGCUGCAACUACGAGGCCCAGCUACAGGGAUUACAGGUGGAGCAGCGGCAAAACCAGGACCAGGUGCGCAUGCUGCAGAAGCAGCUGGAGCGAUAUAAGAUGGACCUGGAGAGAGAGAACAAGAGUCGGGGCGAGCUGGAAGCUAGCUUACAGAACGCUGCCGGCGACGCACAAA
Molecule: long non-coding RNA, 206 nt
Organism: Priapulus caudatus
Lineage: Eukaryota; Metazoa; Priapulida; Priapulimorpha; Priapulimorphida; Priapulidae
Exons: 2
Source: RefSeq, a predicted model, not a curated record